UACGGAGGGUCCAAGCGUUAUCCGGAUUUAUUGGGUUUAAAGGGUGCGUAGGUGGGUUAUUAAGUCAGUGGUGAAAGCCUGCAGCUUAACUGCAGAAUUGCCAUUGAUACUGAUAAUCUUGAGUACAGUUGAGGCGGGCGGAAUGUGUCAUGUAGCGGUGAAAUGCUUAGAUAUGACACAGAACACCGAUUGCGAAGGCAGCUCGCUAAACUGCAACUGACACUGAGGCACGAAAGCGUGGGGAGCAAACAGG
Molecule: ribosomal RNA, 253 nt
Filed under: uncultured bacterium
Lineage: Bacteria
Description: partial 16S ribosomal RNA
Rfam family: Bacterial small subunit ribosomal RNA
Source: RNAcentral